RNAcentral lists this unclassified non-coding RNA (253 nucleotides) under uncultured Parcubacteria group bacterium. Its description in RNAcentral is "contains 16S-23S intergenic spacer region". It matches the Rfam family "Bacterial small subunit ribosomal RNA", at positions 524 to 776 of the family's 1533-position model. The record is from RNAcentral.
UACAGAGGCCCCAAGCGUUAUCCGGAAUCACUGGGCGUAAAGGGUGCGUAGGCGGCCUUGUUAGUCUCUUGUGAAAGCCCGCAGCUUAACUGCGGAUCCGCAAGGGAAACGGCAAGGCUCGAGGGUGCGAGAGGUGUACGGAACUCAUGGUGUAGGGGUGAAAUCCGUUGAUAUCAUGGGGAACACCGAAUGCGAAGGCAGUACACUGGCGCAUUCCUGACGCUGAGGCACGAAAGCGUGGGUAGCGAACGGG